Lolium rigidum is the source of this 1429-nucleotide long non-coding RNA. RefSeq lists it as uncharacterized. NCBI's taxonomy places the organism in Eukaryota, Viridiplantae, Streptophyta, Magnoliopsida, Poales, Poaceae. The transcript has 3 exons. The record is from RefSeq and is a predicted model, not a curated record.
UCCAGCCGCCACCGUGAAUAAAAGUUUGGAUCCGCUGCUUAUCAAGAUCGGAUCUGCUGCUUAUCAAGAUCGGAUCUGCGGCUGCGUGCCUCCGCCCAGGUUCGUGCUCCCUCAAAUCCAUCUCGUUUACAUUUUGUACCACUAGGGUAAGCCAGUGAAGGCGGCGCCGCCGGUGCCAUCGACGAUUAUCGACAGCGAAGAGGUAGGCGUUGCUUCGGUGGGUGUGUGCUUGCGCCCUGGGUGGGGUACAUGGUGCAGGGGGUCUCGUGGAUCCAUCUCGUGUAAAACAUCGGCAACUUCUGCAACAAAAAAAAAAUGAUGGGAUUGUGGUUGUGAGAUUGGCGAUGAGAAAAUCUCGUUCUUUGUUCAGCAUCUGCUGCACAUCUUUUCUAUUUAUGUAUCUUUUGCAGGGAUUGGGGAAAUAUGGCCUGGAAUAAUGUGGAAUUUCAAGUGCUAAGACUAUUUCCAUCACACGGCUGUAUCGAUCAGAUUAAUUAAGGUGCUAGUAUAUUUUUAAUUGGCCGUAUCCAUGCGUCGCCUCUGAUCAAUUUAGGUGCUAGUACUCUUUUCCAAACCAUACUUCUCUAUUCUAUUCUGUAGAGCACACAGCCACGUGAAAGUAGGGUCGAUAGGAAGACUAGAAAAUCUGCGCAUAAUGUUUGUAGUAACUUAUUUGCUUAGCCUACAUUAGUGACUGCGUUGUAGUUCACUUCCACAGCCUAAACUUAUUUGCAGGAACCUGAACUUGUUUGCUCAUAGCAUAUCAAUCUAUUGUUGCUCUAGACAGAUCAAAUGAUUAUUUGCUAAUAGCAAUAAUAUGUUGAAUGUAUUGAUCAAUUUGGGCAUGUGACAUGUAAUGCAUAACAUAACCAAAUUUAAGUGUUCCUAUUUCUGCAGAUUCAUAACCACAACGUGCUAAUUCAUUUAUUUCAGCCCAUAUGUUAAGACAAGAAAACCUGAGUUCAAUCAAAUUACAUUACUGAAUUAUGAGUCACACCUUUGCAUUAUAGAAAGGCUGACUGAUUUUGCAUUCCUGUAGGAAAGAUAUUAUGUCAAGUAUACCUCGAUAACUACGAAAGAUCAAUUUUUCAGAACAGCAAGGAGAAAAUGUAGAGCUCAGAUGGUUUACAAGGUCCUCCUGCGAUAAUAUAUUACCAGGCAUACCUCAUGAAUCUACUAAACAGUUGCAGCAAUUGAGUAUGGACUUGCUAACCUGGCAACACGUGUACAGAGGAUAUCUUUAAAUACAUCUUGUCAUUAUGAAGAUAUUGCCAAUACACGUUAAAUCUGGAACAAAGUAGGACUGAAAUGAACGAAGAUGGACGGGCAAAGCAUUUGUUUCUGCCUCAUAAAUCUAUGGAGAGAUAUUUACUAUCAUUUUUGAGAGAUAAUUGCAAUAUAGGAUUUUUAUGUUUUUUUCCCGUCCAUG